Molecule: small RNA, 130 nt
Filed under: Marmota monax (woodchuck)
Lineage: Eukaryota; Metazoa; Chordata; Mammalia; Rodentia; Sciuridae
Source: RNAcentral
GCCAGGUUUGGUGGUGCAUGCCUGUAAACCUAGCAGCUCAGGAGGCUGAGACAGGAGGAUCGUGAGUUCAAAGCCAGCCUCAGCAACACUGAGGCAAGGCGCUAGGCAACUCAGUGAGACCCUGUCUCUA